RNAcentral lists this ribosomal RNA (721 nucleotides) under uncultured Nitrososphaerota archaeon. Its description in RNAcentral is "bacterial SSU rRNA". It matches the Rfam family "Archaeal small subunit ribosomal RNA", at positions 8 to 737 of the family's 1478-position model. Lineage: Archaea; Thermoproteati; Nitrososphaerota. The record is from RNAcentral.
UUGAUCCUGCCGGACCCGACUGCUAUCAGGAUAGGACUAAGCCAUGCGAGUCAACGUAGCAAUACGUGGCAUACGGCUCAGUAACACGUAGUCAACAUGCCCAGGGGACGUGGAUAACCUCGGGAAACUGAGGAUAAACCGCGAUAGGUCAUAAUAUCUGGAAUGAUUUCUGGCUAAAAUCUAUAUGGCCCCUGGAUUGGACUGCGGCCGAUCAGGCUGUUGGUGAGGUAAUGGCCCACCAAACCUAAAACCGGUACGGGCUCUGAGAGGAGAAGCCCGGAGAUGGGCACUGAGACAAGGGCCCAGGCCCUAUGGGGCGCAGCAGGCGCGAAAACUCUGCAAUAAGCGAAAGCUUGACAGGGUUAUUCUGAGUGAUUUCCGCUAAGGAAAUCUUUUGGCACCUCUAAAAAUGGUGCAGAAUAAGGGGUGGGCAAGCCUGGUGUCAGCCGCCGCGGUAAUACCAGCACCCCGAGUGGUCGGGACGAUUAUUGGGCCUAAAGCAUCCGUAGCCGGUUCUACAAGUCUUCCGUUAAAUCCACCUGCUUAACAGAUGGGCUGCGGAGGAUACUAUGGAGCUAGGAGGCGGGAGAGGCAAGCGGUACUUAGUGGGUAGGGGUAAAAUCCGUUGAUCCAUUGAAGACCACCAGUGGCGAAGGCGGCUUGCCAGAACGCACUCGACGGUGAGGGAUGAAAGCUGGGGGAGCAAACCGGAUUAGAUACC